GAUGAAGAACGCAGCGAAAUGCGAUAAGUAAUGUGAAUUGCAGAAUUCAGUGAAUCAUCGAAUCUUUGAACGCACCUUGCGCUCCUUGGUAUUCCGAGGAGCAUGCCUGUUUGAGUGUCAUUAAAUUAUCAACCUCACCAGUUUUGUUAUGAGACUGUGUA
Molecule: ribosomal RNA, 161 nt
Filed under: Ephemerocybe sassii
Lineage: Eukaryota; Fungi; Basidiomycota; Agaricomycetes; Agaricales; Psathyrellaceae
Also listed under: 2 other names
Description: Coprinellus sassii 5.8S ribosomal RNA
Rfam family: 5.8S ribosomal RNA (bases 1-120)
About the family: 5.8S ribosomal RNA (5.8S rRNA) is a component of the large subunit of the eukaryotic ribosome.
Source: RNAcentral